ACACGGGGGGAGCAAGCGUUGUUCGGAAUCAUUGGGCGUAAAGAGCUCGUAGGCGGCUCCGUAAGUCAGGUGUGAAAUCCAAUGGCUCAACCAUUGUCACGCAUCUGAAACUACGGAACUUGAGUUCAGGAGAGGAAAGCGGAAUUCCAGGUGUAGCGGUGAAAUGCGUAGAUAUCUGGAGGAACACCGGUGGCGAAGGCGGCUUUCUGGCCUGAUACUGACGCUGAGGAGCGAAAGCUAGGGGAGCGAACGGGAUUAGAAACCCCGGUAGUCC
Molecule: ribosomal RNA, 274 nt
Filed under: uncultured bacterium
Lineage: Bacteria
Description: partial 16S ribosomal RNA
Rfam family: Bacterial small subunit ribosomal RNA
Source: RNAcentral